This 125-nucleotide small RNA is filed under the name Marmota monax (woodchuck). The record is from RNAcentral. Lineage: Eukaryota; Metazoa; Chordata; Mammalia; Rodentia; Sciuridae.
GCAGGGUGUGGUGGCGCACGCCUGUGAUUCCAGCAGCUCAGGAGGCUGAGACAGGAGGAUCGUGAAUUCAAAUCCAGCCUCAGCAAUGGUGAGGUGCUAAGCAACUCAGUGAGACCCUGUCUCUA